Molecule: non-coding RNA, 773 nt
Organism: Arachis ipaensis
Lineage: Eukaryota; Viridiplantae; Streptophyta; Magnoliopsida; Fabales; Fabaceae
Source: RefSeq, a predicted model, not a curated record
GCAAAGGGAGGGGAAGAACGAAAGCCACUUCCAACCUUUACGGUGAUUUCAAAAUCCCGUAACUUCUCCGUUCAGUCUCCAAUCGCCACACCGUUUGCGGCCACGUGUUUACCGCGUCGAGCUCUACGUUUUUACCGGAAUAAUUUUAUAGAAUCUAAUUAGCUUGAAGAAAAUGUUCACUCUUACUUAUGUGAAGCUUGGAUAAGGUUGUGAAUAAAUAGUUGGAGCUUGAAAUUGUGAAUAUUGAAACUUGGAGGAAGCUGAGCUUAGAGUUUGUUGAAUUUUGAGGGGCUGUCUUGAUUUUGAAUAAAUUGCUUGGGUCGUUACGUGGAAAUCGGCCAAGGUAUGGUUUAGGUUUCUUGCAUUUAAUAUAUAAUGUUAUGUGAAAACUUAGGCUAGAUGACUAUCGGAUAAGUUGGAUUGCAUGUGUAUAUUUGAUACUUAGUAUCUUGUUGAUGAACAUGGUUGGUUUGGUGCUUGUUGAUUAAUUGGUGAUUUGGUGAAUUAUUGAUUUGAGGUAUAACUAUUAUGGAGGUUGUUAUGAUAAUGAGAAAUGUUAUUUGGUGUUAAAAGCCUAGGAUUUGUGAACUAUGAUUCUUGGUUGAAUUUUGGAUGAUGGAUUUGAAUAUUGUAUGGGUAUAAUUGUUGAUCUGAGGUAGAUUUAUUGUGGUGUUGUUAUGAUGAUAAGGAAGGGUAUGUUGAAAUGAAAAGAAUUCAGGUUUGGGCCCGAAAAGGGUGGCAAAGUCCGAGUUUUAGAGGAGAUGCUGCCGAAA